AGCAGCCGCGGUAAUUCCAGCUCCAAUAGCGUAUAUUAAAGUUGCUGCAGUUAAAAAGCUCGUAGUUGAAUUUCGGGACCAUCAUGUUGGUCGUGCCUCGGUACGUACUGGCAUUGUUGGUUUCUCCCUUCUGACGAACCAUGAUGUCAUUUAUUUGGUGUUGUGGGAAAUCAGGACUGUUACUUUGAAAAAAUUAGAGUGUUUAAAGCAGGCUCACGCUUGAAUACAUUAGCAUGGAAUAAUGAAAUAGGACGUUUGAUUCUAUUUUGUUGGUUUCUAGGAUCGACGUAAUGAUUAAUAGGGAUAGUUGGGGGCAUUAGUAUUCAAUUGUCAGAGGUGAAAUUCUUGGAUUUAUUGAAGACUAACUACUGCGAAAGCAUUUGCCAAGGAUGUUUUCAUUAAUCAAGAGCGAAAGUUAGGGGAUCGAAGACGAUCAGAUACCGUCGUAGUCUUAACCAUAAACUAUGCCGACUAGGGAUCGGAUGAUGUUAAUUUUUUAAUGACUCA
This 507-nucleotide ribosomal RNA is filed under the name uncultured Glomus. RNAcentral's name for it is "SSU rRNA". It matches the Rfam family "Eukaryotic small subunit ribosomal RNA", at positions 569 to 1078 of the family's 1831-position model. Lineage: Eukaryota; Fungi; Glomeromycota; Glomeromycetes; Glomerales; Glomeraceae. The record is from RNAcentral.